This 687-nucleotide ribosomal RNA is filed under the name uncultured Actinomycetes bacterium. RNAcentral's name for it is "bacterial SSU rRNA". It matches the Rfam family "Bacterial small subunit ribosomal RNA", at positions 63 to 763 of the family's 1533-position model. The record is from RNAcentral. Lineage: Bacteria; Bacillati; Actinomycetota; Actinomycetes.
CGAGGUCCAUUCGGUGGUAACACCGAUGAAGACCUAGUGGCGAACGGGUGCGUAACACGUGAGCAACCUGCCCCGAAGACCGGGAUAACAGCGGGAAACUGCUGCUAAUACCGGAUGUCCCCAUCUACUCGCAUGGGUGGAUGAGGAAAUGGAUUCCGCUUCGGGAGGGGCUCGCGGCCUAUCAGCUUGUUGGUGAGGUAACGGCUCACCAAGGCGACGACGGGUAGCUGGUCUGAGAGGACGAUCAGCCACACUGGGACUGAGACACGGCCCAGACUCCUACGGGAGGCAGCAGUAGGGAAUCUUGCGCAAUGGGCGAAAGCCUGACGCAGCAACGCCGCGUGGGGGAUGAAGGCCUUCGGGUUGUAAACUCCUUUUAGUGGGAACGAAAUUGACGGUACCCACAGAAAAAGCCCCGGCUAACUACGUGCCAGCAGCCGCGGUGAUACGUAGGGGGCAAGCGUUGUCCGGAUUUACUGGGCGUAAAGAGCUCGUAGGCGGCUUAGUAAGUCGGCGUGUCAAAUCUCCAGGCUUAACCUGGAGUCGCACCCGAUACUGCUAUAGCUAGAGUCCGGUAGGGGACCAUGGAAUUCCUGGUGUAGCGGUGAAAUGCGCAGAUAUCAGGAGGAACACCAGUAGCGAAGGCGGUGGUCUGGGCCGGUACUGACGCUGAGGAGCGAAAGCGUG